Molecule: ribosomal RNA, 584 nt
Filed under: Bacillus subtilis
Lineage: Bacteria; Bacillati; Bacillota; Bacilli; Caryophanales; Bacillaceae
Description: bacterial SSU rRNA
Rfam family: Bacterial small subunit ribosomal RNA
Source: RNAcentral
GGCGUAAAGGGCUCGCAGGCGGUUUCUUAAGUCUGAUGUGAAAGCCCCCGGCUCAACCGGGGAGGGUCAUUGGAAACUGGGGAACUUGAGUGCAGAAGAGGAGAGUGGAAUUCCACGUGUAGCGGUGAAAUGCGUAGAGAUGUGGAGGAACACCAGUGGCGAAGGCGACUCUCUGGUCUGUAACUGACGCUGAGGAGCGAAAGCGUGGGGAGCGAACAGGAUUAGAUACCCUGGUAGUCCACGCCGUAAACGAUGAGUGCUAAGUGUUAGGGGGUUUCCGCCCCUUAGUGCUGCAGCUAACGCAUUAAGCACUCCGCCUGGGGAGUACGGUCGCAAGACUGAAACUCAAAGGAAUUGACGGGGGCCCGCACAAGCGGUGGAGCAUGUGGUUUAAUUCGAAGCAACGCGAAGAACCUUACCAGGUCUUGACAUCCUCUGACAAUCCUAGAGAUAGGACGUCCCCUUCGGGGGCAGAGUGACAGGUGGUGCAUGGUUGUCGUCAGCUCGUGUCGUGAGAUGUUGGGUUAAGUCCCCGCACGAGCGCAACCCUUGAUCUUAGUUGCCAGCAUUCAGUUGGGCACUCU